Molecule: ribosomal RNA, 497 nt
Filed under: uncultured bacterium
Lineage: Bacteria
Description: partial 16S ribosomal RNA
Rfam family: Bacterial small subunit ribosomal RNA
Source: RNAcentral
GAUGAACGCUGGCGGCGUGCCUAAUACAUGCAUGUCGAGCGAACAGACGAGGAGCUUGCUCCUCUGACGUUAGCGGCGGACGGGUGAGUAACACGUGGAUAACCUACCUAUAAGACUGGGAUAACUUCGGGAAACCGGAGCUAAUACCGGAUAAUAUAUUGAACCGCAUGGUUCAAUAGUGAAAGACGGUUUUGCUGUCACUUAUAGAUGGAUCCGCGCCGCAUUAGCUAGUUGGUAAGGUAACGGCUUACCAAGGCAACGAUGCGUAGCCGACCUGAGAGGGUGAUCGGCCACACUGGAACUGAGACACGGUCCAGACUCCUACGGGAGGCAGCAGUAGGGAAUCUUCCGCAAUGGGCGAAAGCCUGACGGAGCAACGCCGCGUGAGUGAUGAAGGUCUUCGGAUCGUAAAACUCUGUUAUUAGGGAAGAACAAAUGUGUAAGUAACUAUGCACGUCUUGACGGUACCUAAUCAGAAAGCCACGGCUAAUUACGUG